Molecule: unclassified non-coding RNA, 331 nt
Filed under: soil metagenome
Description: partial contains 5.8S ribosomal RNA, internal transcribed spacer 2, and large subunit ribosomal RNA
Rfam family: 5.8S ribosomal RNA (bases 1-120)
Source: RNAcentral
GAUGAAGAACGCAGCGAAAUGCGACAAGUAAUGUGAAUUGCAGAAUUCAGUGAAUCAUCGAAUCUUUGAACGCACAUUGCGCCCCCUGGUAUUCCGGGGGGCAUGCCUGUUCGAGCGUCAUUUCACCACUCAAGCCUCGCUUGGUAUUGGGCAACGCGGUCCGCCGCGUGCCUCAAAUCGUCCGGCUGGGUCUUCUGUCCCCUAAGCGUUGUGGAAACUAUUCGCUAAAGGGUGUUCGGGAGGCUACGCCGUAAAACAACCCCAUUUCUAAGGUUGACCUCGGAUCAGGUAGGGAUACCCGCUGAACUUAAGCAUAUCAAUAAGCGGAGGA